Molecule: ribosomal RNA, 501 nt
Filed under: uncultured bacterium
Lineage: Bacteria
Description: bacterial SSU rRNA
Rfam family: Bacterial small subunit ribosomal RNA
Source: RNAcentral
AUGGCUCAGGACGAACGCUGGCGGCGCGCCUAACACAUGCAAGUCGAACGGAGCUGCACUUCUGAAGUUUCGGAUGGACGAGGUACAAGCUUAGUGGCGAACGGGUGAGUAACACGUGAAGAACCUGCCCUUCAGUGGGGGACAACAGUUGGAAACGACUGCUAAUACCGCAUAAGACCACAGUACCGCAUGGUACAGUGAUCAAAGGAUUUAUUCGCUGAAGGAUGGCUUCGCGUCCGAUUAGGUAGUUGGUGAGGUAACGGCCCACCAAGCCUACGAUCGGUAGCCGGACUGAGAGGUUGAUCGGCCACAUUGGGACUGAGACACGGCCCAGACUCCUACGGGAGGCAGCAGUGGGGAAUAUUGCACAAUGGAGGAAACUCUGAUGCAAGCGACGCCGCGUGAGGGAAGAAGGUCUUCGGAUUGUAAACCUCUGUCUUCAGGGACGAUAAUGACGGUACCUGAGGAGGAAGCACCAGCUAACUACGUGCCAGCCGCUGC